CACAGGUUGUGAACUCGAAGAGUAGGGCGGGACACGUGGUAUCCUGUCUGAAUAUGGGGGGACCAUCCUCCAAGGCUAAAUACUCCUGACUGACCGAUAGUGAACCAGUACCGUGAGGGAAAGGCGAAAAGAACCCCGGCGAGGGGAGUGAAAAAGAACCUGAAACCGUGUACGUACAAGCAGUGGGAGCACCUUCGUGGUGUGACUGCGUACCUUUUGUAUAAUGGGUCAGCGACUUAUAUUCUGUAGCAAGGUUAACCGUAUAGGGGAGCCGAAGGGAAACCGAGUCUUAACUGGGCGUUAAGUUGCAGGGUAUAGACCCGAAACCCGGUGAUCUAGCCAUGGGCAGGUUGAAGGUUGGGUAACACUAACUGGAGGACCGAACCGACUAAUGUUGAAAAAUUAGCGGAUGACUUGUGGCUGGGGGUGAAAGGCCAAUCAAACCGGGAGAUAGCUGGUUCUCCCCGAAAGCUAUUUAGGUAGCGCCUCGUGAACUCAUCUUCGGGGGUAGAGCACUGUUUCGGCUAGGGGGCCAUCCCGGCUUACCAACCCGAUGCAAACUACGAAUACCGAAGAAUGUUAUCACGGGAGACACACGGCGGGUGCUAACGUCCGUCGUGAAGAGGGAAACAACCCAGACCGCCAGCUAAGGUCCCAAAGUCAUGGUUAAGUGGGAAACGAUGUGGGAAGGCACAGACAGCCAGGAUGUUGGCUUAGAAGCAGCCAUCAUUUAAAGAAAGCGUAAUAGCUCACUGGUCGAGUCGGCCUGCGCGGAAGAUGUAACGGGGCUAAACCAUGCACCGAAGCUGCGGCAGCGACGCUUAUGCGUUGUUGGGUAGGGGAGCGUUCUGUAAGCCGUUGAAGGUGUGCUGUGAGGCAUGCUGGAGGUAUCAGAAGUGCGAAUGCUGACAUAAGUAACGAUAAAGCGGGUGAAAAGCCCGCUCGCCGGAAGACCAAGGGUUCCUGUCCAACGUUAAUCGGGGCAGGGUGAGUCGACCCCUAAGGCGAGGCCGAAAGGCGUAGUCGAUGGGAAACAGGUUAAUAUUCCUGUACUUGGUGUUACUGCGAAGGGGGGACGGAGAAGGCUAUGUUAGCCGGGCGACGGUUGUCCCGGUUUAAGCAUGUAGGCGGA
This 1132-nucleotide ribosomal RNA is filed under the name Enterobacter roggenkampii. RNAcentral's name for it is "partial 23S ribosomal RNA". It matches the Rfam family "Bacterial large subunit ribosomal RNA", at positions 391 to 1528 of the family's 2925-position model. The record is from RNAcentral. Lineage: Bacteria; Pseudomonadati; Pseudomonadota; Gammaproteobacteria; Enterobacterales; Enterobacteriaceae.